This 334-nucleotide ribosomal RNA is filed under the name Acinetobacter baumannii. RNAcentral describes it as "bacterial LSU rRNA". It matches the Rfam family "Bacterial large subunit ribosomal RNA", at positions 1538 to 1878 of the family's 2925-position model. The record is from RNAcentral. Lineage: Bacteria; Pseudomonadati; Pseudomonadota; Gammaproteobacteria; Moraxellales; Moraxellaceae.
AAAUGCUUGUAUCUGUAACAUUGAGCUGUGAUGGGGAGCGAAGUUUAGUAGCGAAGUUAGUGAGGUCACACUGCCGAGAAAAGCUUCUAGCGAUGUAUCAUACUCUACCCGUACCGCAAACCGACACAGGUAGUCGAGGCGAGUAGCCUCAGGUGAGCGAGAGAACUCUCGUUAAGGAACUCGGCAAAAUGACCCCGUAACUUCGGGAGAAGGGGUGCUCAGUUUAACUGAGCCGCAGUGAAUAGGCCCAAGCAACUGUUUAUCAAAAACACAGCUCUCUGCUAAAUCGUAAGAUGAUGUAUAGGGGGUGACGCCUGCCCGGUGCUGGAAGGUU